CUCAGUUUGAAACUUCAUGUAGUUACGUAGAAGCUACACUUGAAGAGUUUCUGACCUGGAACUGUGAUCACUCUAGUAUUUCUGGACCAUUUAUAGAUUAUGAUUAUUCCAAAUUCUGGGCUUAUGCUGACUAUAAAUAUGUUGUCAGUCUAUUUGAAGACAAGACAGAUAUUUUCCAGGUAAAUAUAUCAAACCU
Myotis davidii is the source of this 196-nucleotide long non-coding RNA. RefSeq lists it as uncharacterized. NCBI's taxonomy places the organism in Eukaryota, Metazoa, Chordata, Mammalia, Chiroptera, Vespertilionidae. The record is from RefSeq and is a predicted model, not a curated record. The transcript has 3 exons.